This is a non-coding RNA of Danio rerio (zebrafish), 1526 nucleotides long. Lineage: Eukaryota; Metazoa; Chordata; Actinopteri; Cypriniformes; Danionidae. The record is from RefSeq and is a predicted model, not a curated record.
UCAAUUAAUUAAUUAUCAGUGGAGCUAUAAAUUGGGAACAUGGCCAUACCACAUUGUCACUUGAUAGUCACACCAAUUUGUAUUGCUUGUGGUUACUCUCUGACUCAAACAACAAUAAUGGAUCCAAAAAUGUAUGAACAAAUUAUGAACUAUAAACAGCAAGGCACAUACCCUGUUGGUAUAAAGAAGGAGCAAAAAUAUAUUAUACGCCGGCGUUCUUCCAACUUCCAAAUUGAUGGUAAGCAAAGUACUUUUGAGUUAAGAUUUUAAAAUAUUUAUUCAUAAAAGAAUUAAAUAACAAUAAUGCUGUUUGAAUAGAUGGAAAACUUUACCACCUUUCAAAAAAAAAUGGCGUGGAGUUAAAAAAACAAGUGGUUGUUGGGGAAAAUGAAGCAAAUGAAAUUUUUCAAGAUUUUCAUGCAAGCUCCCAUGGAGCACACUGUGGAACGGAGAAAACAAAACUUGCCAUUUCAGCCCGAUUUUACUGGCCUGGAAUGGGGGUGGAUAUUGAUAAAUGGGUAAGAUUUAAAUAAUUUCUUUCAAACUUGUUAUGAGAUCUUAAUGGAUUGUUUCUCAUUUGCUUAUUUCUGAUUUUCAGGUUUUGCAGUGUGCUCAAUGCCAGUUUAGUAGGCCAUCCAUAAAACAGGAGCCAAAGUAUAUUCCGAUAUGUGUAUGUAAGCUUGUUCACAUUUUCAAAUACAAGGUGUCACAGCAUUCACAUUUAUUUGUGCUGUUUUUCCUUCCUAAGGUGGAUAGGCCACUAGAACUGUUGGGUAUGGACCUGGUGGGCAAAGUGACCAAAACCGACAAGGGCAACGAAUACAUUUGUGUCAUUGUCGAUUAUUACACCAAAUGGUCAGAGGCGUAUCCCAUACCCAACAAAUCAGCUGCAGUUGUUGCACGCUGUAUCAUUAACUUUUUUUAUAGGUUUGGGGACCAAAGAGGAUCCUAACCGACCAAGGCAGAGAGUUUGUGAACCAGGUUUGCAACUUAUCAAAUUACAUUCAGAAAAUAAGAAUAAAUGUUUUGUGCAAAUCAGAAUUAUACAAACCUUACAUACGUUUUGCAAAUAGAUCAACAAAGACCUCUGUGACUUCCUUGGUGUGGAACGAAGCCUCUGUGCCCCAUACCAUCCACAAACUAACGGCCUUGUGGAAAAACUAAAUGGGACCAUCCAGAAAGCCUUGUGUAAACUUGUGGAGGAGCGACCUGAAAAAUGGGAUGAGUACCUAGAUGCAGUGAUGUUUGGUCUAAGAACUAAGCCACAGCUGACAACUAGGUACUCCCCAUUUUUCCUGAUGUUCGGCUUUGAGGCCCGAUACCCUUCAGAGGUGCCUGAGACAUUUGAGGUAUAUGUUUAGUCUUUUAUUUGGUUUAAAUGACAAAGUGAAAUCAUUUCUAAGUGCUAUAUUUCCUAAAAGGUUAACAGCACAGUGGAAAAUAUAUUAACUGAGGACACCGUGUCAGGGGCCAUUUCUCUAAAAGAGAAAAUUGACCACAUGGUAAAGGAAAAUGUAAAAAAAAAA